RNAcentral lists this ribosomal RNA (452 nucleotides) under Bos taurus (domestic cattle). RNAcentral's name for it is "similar to 16S ribosomal RNA". The record is from RNAcentral. Lineage: Eukaryota; Metazoa; Chordata; Mammalia; Artiodactyla; Bovidae.
UGAGAAGAUUUGUAAGUAGAGGUGACAUGCCUAACGAGCCUGGUGAUAGCUGGUUGUCCAGAAAAUGAAUCUAAGUUCAGCUUUAAAGAUACCAAAAUUCAAAUGANACCCCACUGUAGCUUUAAAAGUUAGUCUAAAAAGGGUACAGCCUUUUAGAAACGGAUACACCUUGACUAGAGAGUAAAAUUUAACACUACCAUAGUAGGCCUAAAAGCAGCCAUCAAUUAAGAAAGCGUUAAAGCUCAACGACGAAAAUUAAAUAGAUUCCGACACAAUGAUUACUCCUAGCCCCAAUACUGGACUAAUCUAUUAUAGAAUAGAAGCAUAAUGUUAAUAUGAGUAACAAGAAAAAUUUUCUCCUUGCAUAAGUCUAAGUCAGUGCCUGAUAAUACUCUGACCACUACAGUCAAUAAAUAAUCCACAUAACAUUUAUUGAUUAUACUGUUAACCCA